RNAcentral lists this ribosomal RNA (253 nucleotides) under uncultured bacterium. RNAcentral's name for it is "partial 16S ribosomal RNA". It matches the Rfam family "Bacterial small subunit ribosomal RNA", at positions 524 to 776 of the family's 1533-position model. The record is from RNAcentral.
UACGUAGGGUGCAAGCGUUAAUCGGAAUUACUGGGCGUAAAGCGUGCGCAGGCGGUGAUGUAAGACAGUUGUGAAAUCCCCGGGCUCAACCUGGGAACUGCAUCUGUGACUGCAUCGCUGGAGUGCGGCAGAGGGGGAUGGAAUUCCGCGUGUAGCAGUGAAAUGCGUAGAUAUGCGGAGGAACACCGAUGGCGAAGGUAAUCCCCUGGGCCUGCACUGACGCUCAUGCACGGAAGCGUGGGGAGCAAACAGG